AUUGAACGCUGGCGGCAUGCCUUACACAUGCAAGUCGAACGGUAACAGGUUAAGCUGGCGAGUGGCGAACGGGUGAGUAAUGUAUCGGAACGUGCCCAGUCGUGGGGGAUAACUGCUCGAAAGAGCAGCUAAUACCGCAUACGACCUGAGGGUGAAAGCGGGGGAUCGCAAGACCUCGCGCGAUUGGAGCGGCCGAUAUCAGAUUAGGUAGUUGGUGAGGUAAAGGCUCACCAAGCCGACGAUCUGUAGCUGGUCUGAGAGGACGACCAGCCACACUGGGACUGAGACACGGCCCAGACUCCUACGGGAGGCAGCAGUGGGGAAUUUUGGACAAUGGGCGCAAGCCUGAUCCAGCCAUGCCGCGUGCGGGAAGAAGGCCUUCGGGUUGUAAACCGCUUUUGUCAGGGAAGAAAAGGUUCUGGCUAAUACCUGGGACUCAUGACGGUACCUGAAGAAUAAGCACCGGCUAACUACGUG
Molecule: ribosomal RNA, 477 nt
Filed under: uncultured bacterium
Lineage: Bacteria
Description: partial 16S ribosomal RNA
Rfam family: Bacterial small subunit ribosomal RNA
Source: RNAcentral